This 119-nucleotide ribosomal RNA is filed under the name Scophthalmus maximus (turbot). Lineage: Eukaryota; Metazoa; Chordata; Actinopteri; Pleuronectiformes; Scophthalmidae. The record is from RNAcentral.
CUUUACGGCCACACCGCCUGGCACGCCCGAUCUGCGUUUGAUCUCGGAAGCUAAGAUAGGUUGGGCCUGGUUAGUACUUGGAUGGGAGACCGCCUCAGGAAUACCAGGUGCUGUAAGUC